Molecule: ribosomal RNA, 406 nt
Filed under: uncultured bacterium
Lineage: Bacteria
Description: partial 16S ribosomal RNA
Rfam family: Bacterial small subunit ribosomal RNA
Source: RNAcentral
AUUGAACGCUAGCUACAGGCUUAACACAUGCAAGUCGAGGGAACGGCGCACGGGUGAGUAACACGUAUCCAACCUGCCCUUUACUCGGGGAUAGCCUGUCGCAAGAAAGAUUAAUACCCGAUAUAAAGGAUGGAGAUGCGUUCCAUUAGGUUGUUGGUGAGGUAACGGCCCACCAAGCCUUCGAUGGAUCGGGGUUCUGAGAGGAAGGUCCCCCACAUUGGAACUGAGACACGGUCCAAACUGCUACGGGAGGCAGCAGUGAGGAAUAUUGGGCAAUGGGCGUUAGCCUGAACCAGCCAAGUAGCGGGAAGGAUGAAGGCUUAUGGGUCGUAAACUUCUUGUAUAUAAGAAUAUGUAUUAUAUGAAUAAGGAUCGGCUAACUCCGUGCCAGCAGCCGCGGUAAUUC